This 369-nucleotide ribosomal RNA is filed under the name uncultured bacterium. Its description in RNAcentral is "bacterial SSU rRNA". It matches the Rfam family "Bacterial small subunit ribosomal RNA", at positions 527 to 896 of the family's 1533-position model. The record is from RNAcentral.
GUAGGGUGCGAGCGUUAAUCGGAAUUACUGGGCGUAAAGCGUGCGCAGGCGGUCCGCUAAGACCGAUGUGAAAUCCCCGGGCUUAACCUGGGAACUGCAUUGGUGACUGGCGGGCUAGAGUGUGGCAGAGGGGGGUAGAAUUCCACGUGUAGCAGUGAAAUGCGUAGAGAUGUGGAGGAAUACCGAUGGCGAAGGCAGCCCCCUGGGCUAACACUGACGCUCAUGCACGAAAGCGUGGGGAGCAAACAGGAUUAGAUACCCUGGUAGUCCACGCCCUAAACGAUGUCAACUAGUUGUUGGGGAUUCAUUUCCUUAGUAACGUAGCUAACGCGUGAAGUUGACCGCCUGGGGAGUACGGUCGCAAGAUUA